AAGACUUCUUUUGGAGGCCGUCUCAAUAAAUAUAAUAAUUUAAAGAUUUCUUCCUUUUCAACUAAACAAUGUUACCUCUUUGCCUUGUAAAACAGUACUGACACAGACAAUCAUCUUUUGCCUCCACAUUAGUUUUCAAGAUCACAUUGGAAGUAGCAUGGGCAGGGUUGCUGACAGAUAGACUGAAAAUGACCAGAAUUAGUCCACAAACAGAAGUAUCAUGCCACACAAAUGGGAGAUUUUUUGCAGCAUCACGGAGUGAAGCUGGACUGAUUCAGGUUCCCGGUUGCUAUAGUGACAGAUUUCCCAGUCCUUGCCAUAUGUCAGCCCUUCAAUGUUGCUUCCUCUCUCCUCCCUGCUUCAGCCAAAAGCUUGGCUAAAGCUGCCUGCUGUACAUGCGGGAUCACGCAGUCACCACACAUGCACACGCUGUGAAUACAGACCCACAGGCCCCAGGCCAGAUGACAGCGCAGUACCUGCAGCACGCUGAACGCCUCCCAGUCUGUGAGCUUUCCAUAGCCACGGGUACUACAAAUAUCAGGAGUCAUUCUUGCCCACGGAAAGCUGAGUACCAGCCACAGGUGACGAAAUCCACUUAUCCAGGCAGCAGCAGAGCAGCGGUUCCAGCAGCACCUGCCCCACAGAGCCACAGCUCCAACCCCAGUAGGCACAUGAAAGACAUGAAGAAAAUUCAAGACCAGGGCUUGAAUGAACAACAAGAGAUAAGCGUGUGAGGAAGAACGGCGCCUCCCCCAGCCAUACUGAACAGCUCUGGGCCAGGAGACAUCACUCAUGGCAUCACCACCACCAGCUACAGGCACAUUCAACUCUUUCCUGGAAAUUGGUCACACAGACAAAGGGGAUACCAACAAUAAAUUACAGCCAUUUGUAAGACA
Molecule: long non-coding RNA, 896 nt
Filed under: Cyanistes caeruleus (blue tit)
Lineage: Eukaryota; Metazoa; Chordata; Aves; Passeriformes; Paridae
Description: lncRNA (ENSCCEG00000002454.1)
Source: RNAcentral